GACGAACGCUGGCGGCGGGCUUAACACAUGCAAGUCGAACGGAAAGGCCCUGCUUUUGUGGGGUGCUCGAGUGGCGAACGGGUGAGUAACACGUGAGUAACCUGCCCUUGACUUUGGGAUAACUUCAGGAAACUGGGGCUAAUACCUGAUAGGAGCUCCUGCUGCAUGGUGGGGGUUGGAAAGUUUCGGCGGUUGGGGAUGGACUCGCGGCUUAUCAGCUUGUUGGUUGGGUAGUGGCUUACCAAGGCUUUGACGGGUAGCCGGCCUGAGAGGGUGACCGGCCACAUUGGGACUGAGAUACGGCGCAGACUCCUACGGGAGGCAGCAGUGGGGAAUAUUGCACAAUGGGCGGACGCCUGAUGCAGCAACGCCGCGUGCGGGAUGAAGGCCUUCGGGUUGUAAACCGCUUUAGCCUGUGACGAAGCGUGAGUGACGGUAAUGGGUAAAGAAGCACCGGCUAACUACGUG
This 468-nucleotide ribosomal RNA is filed under the name uncultured bacterium. Its description in RNAcentral is "partial 16S ribosomal RNA". It matches the Rfam family "Bacterial small subunit ribosomal RNA", at positions 28 to 507 of the family's 1533-position model. The record is from RNAcentral.